GCGGGGGAAGAAGACGCUGCCUCCGCUUACUGCCGGUUUCUGGAGAGCGGCUUGCGCAACGUUCGGGUCACGUAGCCCUGCACGUCGCAGAUCCAGCUAGCGGUUGCUCCUGCGGAGAGCAGAGAUACGUCGUAUGGAAAGGCUUGCUUCGGAGGUGCAGCUGAUCCCACCUAAUGCUCACCUGAAUUUCUUCCGGCCUGUGGCGUGAGCGUGAGAGUCUCCAGGGAAUAAACUGGAAGCCGCAGCGGUCUGAGACGUAGCAAAUGGAACUUAUGGAGAACAGAGAGAUGCUCUCCGCGAGGGCUCCGCCGCAGCAUCGGGACUCGGAGAAGCGGCUCAGGGAGCGCGGUGCCCGGCGGGGGAGGCAGCAGGAGCAGAAUUUGGAAGGACAUUCUUGCCAUAAAAUCUUCAUUCCUGAACGUAUAUGAGCCAAGAAUGUCUUGCUGCCAAUUUAGGGACAGACUGUCAGCCCUGCUGGGAGCUAUAAGAUACUGCAUGCCAGCAGUUGGAUUUAUGGACCAUCUAAGACACAGGAAAACGAAUGAACACUUUAUUGACUGUUUUCCCUGAAACUAGCUUUUGUUUAAUCCCAGGAAAUAUUUUCUAUUUAAUAUUAUAACAAUAUUUAAUAUCAUAGGGACAUAGGAUAAUUCAUGUUGGAAGGCACCUCGGGAGAUCAUCUAAUCCAAUCUCCUGCUCAAAGCAGGGUCAGUUAUGAGGUCAGACCAAUAUAUCAAUUGCAGCUAUUAAUGGCAAGUCUGAUUUCACUCUGUCUGAAGAAUUCUAGGCAUAAACAUAUAUAGACCAAAUAAAAAUCCCCAUCAGAACCCA
RNAcentral lists this long non-coding RNA (831 nucleotides) under Apteryx rowi (Okarito brown kiwi). RNAcentral's name for it is "lncRNA (ENSARWG00000000218.1)". The record is from RNAcentral. Lineage: Eukaryota; Metazoa; Chordata; Aves; Apterygiformes; Apterygidae.